Molecule: transfer RNA, 67 nt
Filed under: Abisara fylloides
Lineage: Eukaryota; Metazoa; Arthropoda; Insecta; Lepidoptera; Riodinidae
Description: tRNA-Phe
Source: RNAcentral
AUUUAAAUAGCUUAAAAUUAGAGCAUAAUAUUGAAGCUAUUAAAGUGAUUGAAUUAAUCUUUAAAUA